AUCCCUACGGGGGGCAGCAGGGAGGAAUAUUGGUCAAUGGCCGGAAGGCUGAACCAGCCAAGCCGCGUGAGGGGGGAAGGCGCAGAGCGUCGCAGACCUCUUUUGCCGGGGGACAAAAGGCCGGACGGGUCCGGUUCUAAGGGUACCCGGAGAAAAAGCAUCGGCUAACUCCGUGCCGGCAGCCGCGGUAAUACGGAGGAUGCGAGCGUUAUCCGGAUUCAUUGGGUUUAAAGGGUGCGCAGGCGGGCCUUUAAUCCGGCGGUGAAAUCGCGUGGCUCAACGCCGCCUCGCCGUC
RNAcentral lists this ribosomal RNA (295 nucleotides) under uncultured bacterium. Its description in RNAcentral is "partial 16S ribosomal RNA". It matches the Rfam family "Bacterial small subunit ribosomal RNA", at positions 335 to 628 of the family's 1533-position model. The record is from RNAcentral.